This 626-nucleotide long non-coding RNA is filed under the name Helianthus annuus (common sunflower). RNAcentral's name for it is "hypothetical non coding rna". The record is from RNAcentral. Lineage: Eukaryota; Viridiplantae; Streptophyta; Magnoliopsida; Asterales; Asteraceae.
UCGGUUUGCGCAGGACAAUCAGCAGUUCAGAGAACUGCUUCCAACCUGCUUUCGAUCAGACGACAGGACAAUCAACAGUUGCUAGAACCGUUUCCAACCGGCCGAUCCUUGAACUCAAACUUCCGGCAAAAUCACCUUCAACCCUAUGCUCGAUCGUAGUGCUCCUCAAACAAGUGGUCGAGGCCUUGAGGGUAAGUCUCGCCGAGAACAAAGAGGUAUAGUCGAGUGGUUAUGUGGAUAAAUGCAUUCAUGACCUCAAUUACCAUCGUAAUUCAGAAGAUCAAGAAGCUCAAAAUGAAGAUUGUUCAUGAAGCAAUCGAACGAACCCGUCGUUCAGAAGUUGAACUGUUCGUGUGAUUUACAAACAAGAAUCUGAUAGCAAUUAGCAACAUUCUUUGUUCAGACUUGCUUUUUAACAAAUAAAAGCAUAUUUUUUAUAUCAAGCUAUCACAAAAACUAAGAUAAAGUGUCCUAAAAAGUAGAAAUCAUACACAUAUUGUUAUACAAAUUCUUUAUUUCAUAUUUCAUAUUGAAAUAUAUAACAGGUUGGAACAGUUGCACAUCACUGGUUACUGAUCCCACAUUAGGUGGGUAAGAGAAUUAGGCUAUAGGGUGUGGUCAUGACC